GUAGGGAAUUUUCGGCAAUGGGGGAAACCCUGACCGAGCAACGCCGCGUGAAGGAAGAAGUAAUUCGUUAUGUAAACUUCUGUCAUAGAGGAAGAACGGUGCGUGUAGGGAAUGACAUGCAAGUGACGGUACUCUAUAAGAAAGCCACGGCUAACUACGUGCCAGCAGCCGCGGUAAUACGUAGGUGGCGAGCGUUAUCCGGAAUUAUUGGGCGUAAAGAGGGAGCAGGCGGCACUAAGGGUCUGUGGUGAAAGAUCGAAGCUUAACUUCGGUAAGCCAUGGAAACCGUAGAGCUAGAGUGUGUGAGAGGAUCGUGGAAUUCCAUGUGUAGCGGUGAAAUGCGUAGAUAUAUGGAGGAACACCAGUGGCGAAGGCGACGAUCUGGCGCAUAACUGACGCUCAGUCCCGAAAGCGUGGGGAGCAAAUAGGAUUAGAAACCCUGGUAGUCC
Molecule: ribosomal RNA, 449 nt
Filed under: uncultured bacterium
Lineage: Bacteria
Description: partial 16S ribosomal RNA
Rfam family: Bacterial small subunit ribosomal RNA
Source: RNAcentral